RNAcentral lists this ribosomal RNA (1551 nucleotides) under Serratia marcescens. RNAcentral's name for it is "bacterial SSU rRNA". It matches the Rfam family "Bacterial small subunit ribosomal RNA". Lineage: Bacteria; Pseudomonadati; Pseudomonadota; Gammaproteobacteria; Enterobacterales; Yersiniaceae. The record is from RNAcentral.
UUUAAUUGAAGAGUUUGAUCAUGGCUCAGAUUGAACGCUGGCGGCAGGCUUAACACAUGCAAGUCGAGCGGUAGCACAGGGGAGCUUGCUCUCUGGGUGACGAGCGGCGGACGGGUGAGUAAUGUCUGGGAAACUGCCUGAUGGAGGGGGAUAACUACUGGAAACGGUAGCUAAUACCGCAUAACGUCGCAAGACCAAAGAGGGGGACCUUCGGGCCUCUUGCCAUCAGAUGUGCCCAGAUGGGAUUAGCUAGUAGGUGGGGUAAUGGCUCACCUAGGCGACGAUCCCUAGCUGGUCUGAGAGGAUGACCAGCCACACUGGAACUGAGACACGGUCCAGACUCCUACGGGAGGCAGCAGUGGGGAAUAUUGCACAAUGGGCGCAAGCCUGAUGCAGCCAUGCCGCGUGUGUGAAGAAGGCCUUCGGGUUGUAAAGCACUUUCAGCGAGGAGGAAGGUGGUGAGCUUAAUACGCUCAUCAAUUGACGUUACUCGCAGAAGAAGCACCGGCUAACUCCGUGCCAGCAGCCGCGGUAAUACGGAGGGUGCAAGCGUUAAUCGGAAUUACUGGGCGUAAAGCGCACGCAGGCGGUUUGUUAAGUCAGAUGUGAAAUCCCCGGGCUCAACCUGGGAACUGCAUUUGAAACUGGCAAGCUAGAGUCUCGUAGAGGGGGGUAGAAUUCCAGGUGUAGCGGUGAAAUGCGUAGAGAUCUGGAGGAAUACCGGUGGCGAAGGCGGCCCCCUGGACGAAGACUGACGCUCAGGUGCGAAAGCGUGGGAGCAAACAGGAUUAGAUACCCUGGUAGUCCACGCUGUAAACGAUGUCGAUUUGGAGGUUGUGCCCUUGAGGCGUGGCUUCCGGAGCUAACGCGUUAAAUCGACCGCCUGGGGAGUACGGCCGCAAGGUUAAAACUCAAAUGAAUUGACGGGGGCCCGCACAAGCGGUGGAGCAUGUGGUUUAAUUCGAUGCAACGCGAAGAACCUUACCUACUCUUGACAUCCAGAGAACUUUCCAGAGAUGGAUUGGUGCCUUCGGGAACUCUGAGACAGGUGCUGCAUGGCUGUCGUCAGCUCGUGUUGUGAAAUGUUGGGUUAAGUCCCGCAACGAGCGCAACCCUUAUCCUUUGUUGCCAGCGGUUCGGCCGGGAACUCAAAGGAGACUGCCAGUGAUAAACUGGAGGAAGGUGGGGAUGACGUCAAGUCAUCAUGGCCCUUACGAGUAGGGCUACACACGUGCUACAAUGGCGUAUACAAAGAGAAGCGACCUCGCGAGAGCAAGCGGACCUCAUAAAGUACGUCGUAGUCCGGAUUGGAGUCUGCAACUCGACUCCAUGAAGUCGGAAUCGCUAGUAAUCGUAGAUCAGAAUGCUACGGUGAAUACGUUCCCGGGCCUUGUACACACCGCCCGUCACACCAUGGGAGUGGGUUGCAAAAGAAGUAGGUAGCUUAACCUUCGGGAGGGCGCUUACCACUUUGUGAUUCAUGACUGGGGUGAAGUCGUAACAAGGUAACCGUAGGGGAACCUGCGGUUGGAUCACCUCCUUACCUAAAGA